Long non-coding RNA from Capsella rubella, 453 nucleotides. RefSeq lists it as uncharacterized. Lineage: Eukaryota; Viridiplantae; Streptophyta; Magnoliopsida; Brassicales; Brassicaceae. The transcript has 4 exons. The record is from RefSeq and is a predicted model, not a curated record.
AAGAGACUCAAGCUGGUUUCUAGCCAUGGAGUCGCCGAUGAAAGCUAGAUGCUUGUCUCUCAUAAGAUCAAGAAACCGGUUAGCGUCGAAUCUUGGUUGAACCAUUGUAGAGUGGACCAGUCUCGUCCCUGACCCAUUUCCCUUGCGUAUAAUCGCAUAAAGUUCGAUGUUACCUUGAGAAGAAGAAGAAGAGAAGCUGGUGAUCACAACGUGAGCUGAAGAGUCUUGGAGAGAGGUGUCAUCAAUGGAGGAGGAGAAAGGAUUAUUAAAACAGAGUCGAAACAGAGCUAAUGAGACGAGACGAAAGGACGAGUGGUUCGAUGGUUUUGGACCAGUGGGAUGUAAAUAUUUUAUUCAAAUCUUUUUAAUUAUUAAUCUAUCCAUGUCAAUGCUGUUGUUGUUAUGCUUAAUUUUCAAUAUUUUCCACAUGAUAUUGUAUUAUUCAUACAGUUG